Molecule: long non-coding RNA, 2327 nt
Organism: Triticum dicoccoides
Lineage: Eukaryota; Viridiplantae; Streptophyta; Magnoliopsida; Poales; Poaceae
Exons: 3
Source: RefSeq, a predicted model, not a curated record
UCCCCUCCCCCUCCUGCCCACUCUCCUCCCUUCCUCGCCCCUCCCACGAAAACCCUAGCCGCCACUACCCAUCCCACCCUGCAGCCGCCGCCGACUCCGCUCGCCCUCGCGCCGUCGCGUCGUCUCCUCCAUGCCCCCUUGUGCUCAUCAGGAGGAGCGCGGCUCGCCGCCUUCCCUCGCGCACUGCCGCUACUCUCCCCGUCAAGAUUUCCCCUCACCAUCGUUGUGACGGUCGUCGUGCCAACCGGAGCUCCUCCUGAUCCGCCAACUGGCGCUCUUCCCCGCCGCGGCGACGCUCGUGCCGCUGCUCUCCGUCAAGCUCACCUGUGCAGCGCAUCUGAUGGCCAACACAGCCGUCGUCGUUGCCUGCCCUCCUUGAUGCGACGGCGCGGCCACGCCUCUUCCUCCCUUCUCCUUCGGCGCCUCCUCCCCGUCGGCUCCCUCUGUGGAGUCGUAGGUCACCGCCUCCCGUGCGCGAAGUCUCUUGCAAGCCCCUCGCCUCCUCCUCGACCGGCGGCGGCGCCAACCCUGACGAGGAGCCCAUCCUGCCCCUCCUCCUGGAACUAGCAGAUAGCUUGGUGCUAUGUGAUGCAUCGUUUGGUCCUGCUCCGGUGUUGUUUUGCCUUCUUUUACUCGGCUCACAUAUAAAGCCCCUUCUUCGGACAAGCAAAAGUCGUGGUUGCAAUGGAUACCGGUUAGAUUCUCGACCAAGGUUUGCCUGGGCAUGCGUCCUCCAAUAACAAGAAGAUGUGCCCACCUAUCAAGGUUAGCUGGAAGUUAUCAAUUUGCUUUGUAAAAGGCUUGGGAUUUUCAAAGUUUGUAGGAACCCCUUUUGAACAGACCUACCACCAUACAUGUACUUGAGAAUAGGAAGAACAUAUAUUCCAAAGAAAACUUUCUACAGUUAAAAAAGAUUGCAUGAAACCACAUACACUUGAUUUUUUUUGUCAUGGCCAAAAGAAACAAUGAGAUAAAAAAAGGCUCACAUAAAACAUAUAUCUUCAUAAUAGCUUUGAUGACCAGCACUUAACAGAGCCAUUCCACCCCUAUGCUUUCAUUGACAAGCAGAUUCCUAAAAGUUCUCAUACUUAAUGAGAGGAUGGCCCUGCAUAUGAGAAAUAAACCAAACCAGAGACAAAAUGUGCUUAAGAAUGCAAAUAAAUUUUAUUUCUUUUGAACCAAGGAUGAUGAACUUUUUUGGUAAUCACUUGCAAGACAAAAUAAAAAAACCAUGUCAUCAGAUGAACCUGCUUAUGCAAAAUGCUUUGAGGAUAUUCAUACACAAUCCUUUCUCAGUUUGCUUACAUGACUGGGUUAAUAAAAAGAAGCAUUUAAUAGUAAAGAAAAUAAGCUAUUGCCCAUGUAUAGAUCAAAAGAUUUUAGUCCGUGUUUCUGCAUAAGCCUAAGCCGAAAAUAACUGGCCUUAAGUACGUCCAAUUCGUACGCAGUCCCUACUCAGGAAAUAAAUGUCUUGUGUAUGUGUGUGGACUGAAAUUGUACCUCAUUAUAGUAAUUCAUAAUCAGUUCCAUUUUUUAAUUUGAUGUUGCGAAUAUAUGCUCAUCUUGUGCAGUUUAGCUUUUAGAUAAUAGUUAUUUCCUUUUUUUUGUUGUUCCCACUGAUGGAAGAGGUUCUAAUGAUCUUCCAGUCAGAGGGAAAAUAAACUCACAAACAUAUGAGCCAGGUAACCAUGAACCACUUGCAGCAAAUCUGAUUUAUUGCUCCCUAUUGGGAAUAUUUCUUUUCUCAUGUUAUUUAUUCCUUUGCACUAAAGAACUGCAUUGCUGAAUCCAAAUGUAGCUAAAUCAUGGGAAUAUAAAAUUGCAUUUAUUCAUAUGGGUAUGGAUUUUUAUACUUUGUUGUGAUUUAGAAAGUGUAAUUUCAGUGACAUUCAGUUGUAAAUAGUUAGCCAAAUAACCCACAUACGUCAAGUAUUGUCACUACUAAUUGCAUUAGCUUCGCCUCAGAACUUGGAAAGAGGAAGUAGAGUUAUCAAUAAUGAUCAACUAUGAGGUACCGUAGAUAUCAAUGUUUGUAGAGCAUUGUUUCCAAUUGUCUGUUAACUCAUUGUGUUUAUGAGCAGAUACAUCUCCUGUGACCCUUAUUCUUAUAGUUGCUGAUAUGAACUACUUGGCUAUAUUUAUAGAAUUUAUGACUUUAUGUUUUGUAUACUAUUUGAUGCAAAUCAGUUGUCCUCGGCAAACAUUGUGCCUUGCUUUUGGUACAAAUUGUGUCUUUAUGAUCUGUAGUGAAAUUGCGGUUGUCCUGGGCAACAACUAUACUUUGUUUUUUGUAUAUAUUUAAUCUGUAUGUGAGGCCCUAUACUAAA